This 119-nucleotide ribosomal RNA is filed under the name Naja naja (Indian cobra). The record is from RNAcentral. Lineage: Eukaryota; Metazoa; Chordata; Lepidosauria; Squamata; Elapidae.
AUCUAUGGCCAUACUAUCCUGAACGCGCCCGAUCCCAUCUGAUGUCAGUAACUAAGCAGGAUCAGGUCUGGUUAGUGUUUGGAUAGGAGACUGCCUGGGAAUACCAGGUGCUGUAGGCU